Molecule: ribosomal RNA, 31 nt
Filed under: Emericellopsis glabra
Lineage: Eukaryota; Fungi; Ascomycota; Sordariomycetes; Hypocreales; Bionectriaceae
Description: partial 28S ribosomal RNA
Source: RNAcentral
AUACCCGCUGAACUUAAGAAUAUAAAUAAGG